UAGGGAAUCUUCGGCAAUGGACGAAAGUCUGACCGAGCAACGCCGCGUUAGUGAAGAAGGUUUUCGGAUCGUAAAACUCUGUUGUUAGAGAAGAACAAGGACGUUAGUAACUGAACGUCCCCUGACGGUAUCUAACCAGAAAGCCACGGCUAACUACGUGCCAGCAGCCGCGGUAAUACGUAGGUGGCAAGCGUUGUCCGGAUUUAUUGGGCGUAAAGCGAGCGCAGGCGGUUUCUUAAGUCUGAUGUGAAAGCCCCCGGCUCAACCGGGGAGGGUCAUUGGAAACUGGGAGACUUGAGUGCAGAAGAGGAGAGUGGAAUUCCAUGUGUAGCGGUGAAAUGCGUAGAUAUAUGGAGGAACACCAGUGGCGAAGGCGGCUCUCUGGUCUGUAACUGACGCUGAGGCUCGAAAGCGUGGGGAGAAAAAAGG
This 429-nucleotide ribosomal RNA is filed under the name Chloroflexota bacterium. Its description in RNAcentral is "Chloroflexi bacterium partial 16S ribosomal RNA". It matches the Rfam family "Bacterial small subunit ribosomal RNA", at positions 355 to 776 of the family's 1533-position model. The record is from RNAcentral. Lineage: Bacteria; Bacillati; Chloroflexota.